AAUCAACGCUGGCGGCGUGCCUAACACAUGCAAGUCGAACGAGAAGGUGACUUCGGUCACUGGAUAGUGGCGUCCGGGUGAGUAACACGUAGGUAAUCUACCUUCGGGUGGGGAAUAACGUCUCGAAAGAGACGCUAAUACCGCAUAAUGCAGCGGCACCUAAUGGUGAUUAGUUGUUAAAGCGGGGGAGUCUUCGGACCUCGCGCCUGAAGAGGAGCCUGCGGCAGAUUAGCUAGUUGGUGAGGUAAUGGCUCACCAAGGCUUCGAUCUGUAGCUGGUCUGAGAGGACGGCCAGCCACACUGGCACUGACACACGGGCCAGACUCCUACGGGAGGCAGCAGUGGGAAUUUUGGGCAAUGGGCGAAAGCCUGACCCAGCAACGCCCGCGUGAAGGAGGAAAUCCUUCGGGAUGUAACUUCAUAAGUAAGGGAAGAAAGCUGCGGAUCGAAU
This 451-nucleotide ribosomal RNA is filed under the name uncultured bacterium. RNAcentral's name for it is "bacterial SSU rRNA". It matches the Rfam family "Bacterial small subunit ribosomal RNA", at positions 32 to 464 of the family's 1533-position model. The record is from RNAcentral.